Molecule: long non-coding RNA, 249 nt
Filed under: Eutrema salsugineum
Lineage: Eukaryota; Viridiplantae; Streptophyta; Magnoliopsida; Brassicales; Brassicaceae
Description: long non-coding RNA (ESAL_LNC000242)
Source: RNAcentral
UAUGUUUUUAAUUGCUUUUGAUUACUUUUAUUACGUUUUUCUAGUAUUUGUAGUUUCAAAACUCUUUUCAGGAAACUUAGGGAAAAGCUUAACAAAAUGGAUAGAAAACCAGAUUUCAGCUCAGAGUCAAACCGUCAGAAGUUCACCCCUGAUUGAAGGCCUUCUCACCGUCUGAUCCAGCUCAAAUUUGGAGACCUUAAAGAUGGAAGUAUCAGCUUUCCAGUGCACUUUACAGCUUCGCAAUCCAAC